RNAcentral lists this ribosomal RNA (2299 nucleotides) under Campylobacter jejuni. RNAcentral describes it as "partial 23S ribosomal RNA". It matches the Rfam family "Bacterial large subunit ribosomal RNA", at positions 625 to 2925 of the family's 2925-position model. Lineage: Bacteria; Pseudomonadati; Campylobacterota; Epsilonproteobacteria; Campylobacterales; Campylobacteraceae. The record is from RNAcentral.
GAGUUGUGGUGUCUGGCAAGGUUAAGCAAACGCGAAGCCGUAGCGAAAGCGAGUCUGAAUAGGGCGCUUAGUCAGAUGCUGCAGACCCGAAACGAAGUGAUCUAUCCAUGAGCAAGUUGAAGCUAGUGUAAGAACUAGUGGAGGACUGAACCCAUAGGCGUUGAAAAGCCCCGGGAUGACUUGUGGAUAGGGGUGAAAGGCCAAUCAAACUUCGUGAUAGCUGGUUCUCUCCGAAAUAUAUUUAGGUAUAGCGUUGUGUCGUAAUAUAAGGGGGUAGAGCACUGAAUGGGCUAGGGCAUACACCAAUGUACCAAACCCUAUCAAACUCCGAAUACCUUAUAUGUAAUCACAGCAGUCAGGCGGCGAGUGAUAAAAUCCGUCGUCAAGAGGGAAACAACCCAGACUACCAGCUAAGGUCCCUAAAUCUUACUUAAGUGGAAAACGAUGUGAAGUUACUUAAACAACCAGGAGGUUGGCUUAGAAGCAGCCAUCCUUUAAAGAAAGCGUAAUAGCUCACUGGUCUAGUGAUUUUGCGCGGAAAAUAUAACGGGGCUAAAGUAAGUACCGAAGCUGUAGACUUAGUUUACUAAGUGGUAGGAGAGCGUUCUAUUUGCGUCGAAGGUAUACCGGUAAGGAGUGCUGGAGCGAAUAGAAGUGAGCAUGCAGGCAUGAGUAGCGAUAAUUAAUGUGAGAAUCAUUAACGCCGUAAACCCAAGGUUUCCUACGCGAUGCUCGUCAUCGUAGGGUUAGUCGGGUCCUAAGUCGAGUCCGAAAGGGGUAGACGAUGGCAAAUUGGUUAAUAUUCCAAUACCAACAUUAGUGUGCGAUGGAAGGACGCUUAGGGCUAAGGGGGCUAGCGGAUGGAAGUGCUAGUCUAAGGUCGUAGGAGGUUAUACAGGCAAAUCCGUAUAACAAUACUCCGAGAACUGAAAGGCUUUUUGAAGUCUUCGGAUGGAUAGAAGAACCCCUGAUGCCGUCGAGCCAAGAAAAGUUUCUAAGUUUAGCUAAUGUUGCCCGUACCGUAAACCGACACAGGUGGGUGGGAUGAGUAUUCUAAGGCGCGUGGAAGAACUCUCUUUAAGGAACUCUGCAAAAUAGCACCGUAUCUUCGGUAUAAGGUGUGGUUAGCUUUGUAUUAGGAUUUACUCCGAAAGCAAGGAAACUUACAACAAAGAGUCCCUCCCGACUGUUUACCAAAAACACAGCACUCUGCUAACUCGUAAGAGGAUGUAUAGGGUGUGACGCCUGCCCGGUGCUCGAAGGUUAAUUGAUGGGGUUAGCAUUAGCGAAGCUCUUGAUCGAAGCCCGAGUAAACGGCGGCCGUAACUAUAACGGUCCUAAGGUAGCGAAAUUCCUUGUCGGUUAAAUACCGACCUGCAUGAAUGGCGUAACGAGAUGGGAGCUGUCUCAAAGAGGGAUCCAGUGAAAUUGUAGUGGAGGUGAAAAUUCCUUCUACCCGCGGCAAGACGGAAAGACCCCGUGGACCUUUACUACAGCUUGACACUGCUACUUGGAUAAGAAUGUGCAGGAUAGGUGGGAGGCUUUGAGUAUAUGACGCCAGUUGUAUAUGAGCCAUUGUUGAGAUACCACUCUUUCUUAUUUGGGUAGCUAACCAGCUUGAGUUAUCCUCAAGUGGGACAAUGUCUGGUGGGUAGUUUGACUGGGGCGGUCGCCUCCCAAAUAAUAACGGAGGCUUACAAAGGUUGGCUCAGAACGGUUGGAAAUCGUUCGUAGAGUAUAAAGGUAUAAGCCAGCUUAACUGCAAGACAUACAAGUCAAGCAGAGACGAAAGUCGGUCUUAGUGAUCCGGUGGUUCUGUGUGGAAGGGCCAUCGCUCAAAGGAUAAAAGGUACCCCGGGGAUAACAGGCUGAUCUCCCCCAAGAGCUCACAUCGACGGGGAGGUUUGGCACCUCGAUGUCGGCUCAUCGCAUCCUGGGGCUGGAGCAGGUCCCAAGGGUAUGGCUGUUCGCCAUUUAAAGCGGUACGCGAGCUGGGUUCAGAACGUCGUGAGACAGUUCGGUCCCUAUCUGCCGUGGGCGUAAGAAGAUUGAAGAGAUUUGACCCUAGUACGAGAGGACCGGGUUGAACAAACCACUGGUGUAGCUGUUGUUCUGCCAAGAGCAUCGCAGCGUAGCUAAGUUUGGAAAGGAUAAACGCUGAAAGCAUCUAAGCGUGAAGCCAACUCUAAGAUGAAUCUUCUCUAAGCUCUCUAGAAGACUACUAGUUUGAUAGGCUGGGUGUGUAAUGGAUGAAAGUCCUUUAGCUGACCAGUACUAAUAGAGCGUUUGGCUUAUCUUU